Molecule: ribosomal RNA, 253 nt
Filed under: uncultured bacterium
Lineage: Bacteria
Description: partial 16S ribosomal RNA
Rfam family: Bacterial small subunit ribosomal RNA
Source: RNAcentral
UACGAAGGGUGCAAGCGUUACUCGGAAUUACUGGGCGUAAAGCGUGCGUAGGUGGUUUGUUAAGUCUGCUGUGAAAGCCCCGGGCUCAACCUGGGAAUGGCAGUGGAUACUGGCAAGCUAGAGUGCGGUAGAGGGGUGUGGAAUUCCCGGUGUAGCGGUGAAAUGCGUAGAGAUCGGGAGGAACACCAGUGGCGAAGGCGGCACCCUGGACCGAGAUUGACGCUGAUGCGCGAAAGCCAGGGGAGCAAACGGG